GGCUCUAUUGAAAGGGAUGGUUCCCUUCCGAGGGAUCAAAAGGGAAUGCGGUGAGCGCCGGCGACGGCGCGAAGCCGCGGCUGCCCCCGCAACUGUGAGCGGCGAGCCGAGGAUCAAACGAGCCACUGGAGCAGACGCUCCGGGAAGGCGAUCCGAAGGCGCUGACCCGCGAGCCAGGAGACCUGCCAUCAGUCGUGGUCACGC
Molecule: non-coding RNA, 204 nt
Filed under: Methylosinus sp.
Lineage: Bacteria; Pseudomonadati; Pseudomonadota; Alphaproteobacteria; Hyphomicrobiales; Methylocystaceae
Source: RNAcentral